RNAcentral lists this unclassified non-coding RNA (339 nucleotides) under soil metagenome. RNAcentral describes it as "partial contains 5.8S ribosomal RNA, internal transcribed spacer 2, and large subunit ribosomal RNA". The stretch from base 1 to 120 matches the Rfam family "5.8S ribosomal RNA", at positions 35 to 154 of the family's 154-position model. The record is from RNAcentral.
GAUGAAGAACGUAGCGAAAUGCGAUACGUAGUGUGAAUUGCAGAAUUCAGUGAAUCAUCGAAUCUUUGAACGCACAUUGCACCUCUCGGUAUUCCGGGAGGUAUGCCUGUUCGAGCGUCAUUUGUACCCUCAAGCUCUGCUUGGUGUUGGGCGUUUGUUCCGCCUCUGUGUGUGAACUCGCCUCAAAACAAUUGGCAGCCGGCGUACUUGUUUCGGAGCGCAGCACAUUUUGCGAUCCAGAUCAACGUACAGCGGCAUCCAAGAAGCCUUAUUUAACGCUCUUGACCUCGGAUCAGGUAGGGAUACCCGCUGAACUUAAGCAUAUCAAUAAGCGGAGGA